CGGAGGAAAAGAAACCAACUGGGAUUCCCUUAGUAACGGCGAGUAAGCGGUAAAAGCUCAAAUUAAAAUCUGGUACUUUCAGCCCCCGGGUUGUAAUUAGUAGAAUUUGUUUUUGAUUAGGUCCUUGUUUAUUUUCCUUGGAACAAGACGUCAUAGAGGGUGAGAAUCCCCUUUGGCGAGGAUACCUUUUCUCUGUAAGACUUUUUCGAAGAAUCGAGUUGUUUGGGAAUGCAGCUCAAAGAGGGUGGUAAAUUCCAUCUAAAGAUAAAUAUUGGCGAGAGACCGAUAGCGAACAAGUACACUGAUGGAAAGAUGAAAAGAACUUUGAAAAGAGAGUGAAAAAGUACGUGAAAUUGUUGAAAAAGAAGGGCAUUUGAUCAGACAUGGUGUUUUUUGCAUGCACUCGCCUCUCGUGGGGGUGGGCCUCUCAAAAAUUUCACGGGCCAACAUCAAUUCUGGCAGCGGGAUAAAUCAUUAAGAAAGUAGCUACUUCGGGAGGGUUAUAACCUUUUGGAAUACCCGUACCCGGGAUUG
Molecule: ribosomal RNA, 534 nt
Filed under: Hanseniaspora uvarum
Lineage: Eukaryota; Fungi; Ascomycota; Saccharomycetes; Saccharomycodales; Saccharomycodaceae
Description: eukaryotic LSU rRNA
Rfam family: Eukaryotic large subunit ribosomal RNA
Source: RNAcentral